AUGAACGCUGGCGGCGUGCCUAAUACAUGCCAGUCGAGCGAACAGACGAGGAGCUUGCUCCUCUGACGUUAGCGGCGGACGGGUGAGUAACACGUGGAUAACCUACCUAUAAGACUGGGAUAACUUCGGGAAACCGGAGCUAAUACCGGAUAAUAUAUUGAACCGCAUGGUUCAAUAGUGAAAGACGGUUCUGCUGUCACUUAUAGAUGGAUCCGCGCCGCAUUAGCUAGUUGGUAAGGUAACGGCUUACCAAGGCAACGAUGCGUAGCCGACCUGAGAGGGUGAUCGGCCACACUGGAACUGAGACACGGUCCAGACUCCUACGGGAGGCAGCAGUAGGGAAUCUUCCGCAAUGGGCGAAAGCCUGACGGAGCAACGCCGCGUGAGUGAUGAAGGUCUUCGGAUCGUAAAACUCUGUUAUUAGGGAAGAACAAAUGUGUAAGUAACUAUGCACGUCUUGACGGUACCUAAUCAGAAAGCCACGGCUAACUACGUG
This 496-nucleotide ribosomal RNA is filed under the name uncultured bacterium. RNAcentral's name for it is "partial 16S ribosomal RNA". It matches the Rfam family "Bacterial small subunit ribosomal RNA", at positions 29 to 507 of the family's 1533-position model. The record is from RNAcentral.